GACAGAGGGGGCAAGCGUUGCUCGGAAUUACUGGGCGUAAAGGGCGCGUAGGCGGGAUGGCAAGUCGGUCGUGAAAUCCCUCGGCUCAACCGAGGAACGUCGAUCGAUACUGCUGUUCUUGAGGAUUGCAGAGGAGACUGGAAUUCCCGGUGUAGCGGUGAAAUGUGUAGAGAUCGGGAGGAACACCGGUGGCGAAGGCGACUUUCUGGCCUGUUCUUGACGCUGAGGCGCGAAAGCUAGGGGAGCAAACGGG
RNAcentral lists this ribosomal RNA (253 nucleotides) under uncultured bacterium. Its description in RNAcentral is "partial 16S ribosomal RNA". It matches the Rfam family "Bacterial small subunit ribosomal RNA", at positions 524 to 776 of the family's 1533-position model. The record is from RNAcentral.